UACAGAGGUCCCAAGCGUUGUUCGGAUUCACUGGGCGUAAAGGGUGCGUAGGUGGUGGGGUAAGUCGGAUGUGAAAGCUCGGAGCUCAACUCCGAAAUGGCAUUGGAAACUACCCUGCUAGAGGAUUGGAGGGGGGACUGGAAUACUUGGUGUAGCAGUGAAAUGCGUAGAUAUCAAGUGGAACACCAGUGGCGAAGGCGAGUCCCUGGACGAUUUCUGACACUGAGGCACGAAAGCUAGGGGAGCAAACAGG
RNAcentral lists this ribosomal RNA (253 nucleotides) under uncultured bacterium. RNAcentral's name for it is "partial 16S ribosomal RNA". It matches the Rfam family "Bacterial small subunit ribosomal RNA", at positions 524 to 776 of the family's 1533-position model. The record is from RNAcentral.